RNAcentral lists this long non-coding RNA (642 nucleotides) under Vitis vinifera (wine grape). Its description in RNAcentral is "long non-coding RNA (VVIN_LNC001755)". Lineage: Eukaryota; Viridiplantae; Streptophyta; Magnoliopsida; Vitales; Vitaceae. The record is from RNAcentral.
UUAAUUCUAAUUCGAUUUUUUUGGGGGGUUUUAUGCGUCCUGGGUGUCGUCAGAGGGGCUCAGGGGGAAACACGUGUCAUCUCCUCCGGUGCUCCAGAGAAAAUGCGCGUAAUUGGCUGCAUAGUAGGUGUUACUUGGAUCGGCGGCGAUCGCCUCCAGAUACGUCUCCUCCGCCGCCCAAAGGUCCUUCUUCGCCACCCACAGAAAGCUCGCAUAUUUGUUGUACGCCUCCGCAUCCGGCGGCUCCACCGCUAUCGCUCUUUUGAAGUACUCCUCCGCUCUGUGAAUAAGCAAAGAAAAAUUAAGGUCAACAAUCAACACCACGUGAGAAGUUCGUGACUGAUUCCACUUCUUUCUUCUUCUUCUAUGAACGGGUAACCACACACGUCUCUAUCGGAGAUUUGGAAAAAGACUACAAAUCUUUUGACUCGUAGAAUGGGCACCGACUUAACUCGGCAAUGGAGGAGGGUGACGCGACUUUUACCUGUCAUAGUCGUGCGCAACGAGAUAGAGGAACUGGGCGUAGUUGGCGAGGAGAAGAGGAUUGUUCGGCUCACGGGCAAGGCCCAUUUGGUAUAGCAGCUCUGCUCUGAAGUAGUCGGCGUAGUCGUCAGCUUCGAUCUUCGCCUCCACCGGCGAAAC